CCUACGGGUGGCAGCAGUGAGGAAUAUUGGUCAAUGGGCGCGAGCCUGAACCAGCAAAGUAGCGUGAAGGAUGACUGCCCUACGGGUUGUAACCUUCUUUUAUAAAGGAAUAAAGUGAGGCGCGUGUGCCUUUUUGUAUGUACUUUAUGAAUAAGGAUCGGCUAGCUCCGUGCCAGCAGCCGCGGUAAUACGGAGGAUCCGAUCGUUAUCCGGAUUUAGUGGGUUUAAAGGGAGCGUAGAUGGGUUGUUAAGUCAGUUGUGAAAGUUUGCGGCUCAACCGGAAAAUUGCAAUUGAUACUGGGAGUCUUGAGUACAGUGGAGGCAGGCGGAAUUCGUGGUGUAGCGGUGAAAUGCUUAGAUAUCACGAAGAACUCCGAUUGCGAAGGCAGUUUACUAAACUGCCACUGACAUUGAGGCGCGAAAGUGUGGGUAGCAAACAGGAUUAGAUACCCUUGUAGUC
Molecule: ribosomal RNA, 460 nt
Filed under: uncultured bacterium
Lineage: Bacteria
Description: partial 16S ribosomal RNA
Rfam family: Bacterial small subunit ribosomal RNA
Source: RNAcentral